UGGUAGUGUGUAGAAAACAAUAUCAAUUUGUGCAUAAGCAACACCAAAAAGGAAUAUUCCGCUAGUUAUUCGAUUUGUUGAAAUAUAUCACAAAAGAAAAACGUCAAAAAGAAAAAUAGAUCCCACUUCAACUGUAUUUUUUUUUCUCUUUGAGUUGAUUAUACUAAUUACAAAAGCAUACUUUAUAGUACAAAAAAGCAUGUAUCAUCACUUCGCAAUAACGUUUUCUCAAGUUUCACUACUCUAGUCACAUGAAUUUUCUAUAAAACCCUCUUCCUGUAUGUUCCACAACUUAUCAUCGGCAUCUAUUAGUAUUACCCGGAAGCAUGGCUAACAAUAAGAGCAAAGAAGGGCCAAUAUCUGAAAACGAAGAUCUUCAGCUGUUUAAGGGAACACCCAUAGCUACUAGCUGUACGGUAUAGUAAGAAGAGUUGGUGAACAUGUUGGGACGAGAAGAGAGAUCGAGAUUUUGACCAACUUGAAAACGUAUGGUUAACGGCAACCACAAUGGACAAGACUUGAACAUUAUGUAUCUUUCUCUCUGACCGGGCAACUUCGGAACCUUUGGCAAUGUUUCUCUUGAUUUUAAUUUUAAAUUUUUACUGUUGAUUUAUCUAUUUGUAGUAAUUCUUCUUGUUAUAUCGGUUGAAUGGAACACAUACUUCGCACCAA
Camelina sativa (false flax) is the source of this 672-nucleotide long non-coding RNA. RefSeq lists it as uncharacterized. The record is from RefSeq and is a predicted model, not a curated record. Lineage: Eukaryota; Viridiplantae; Streptophyta; Magnoliopsida; Brassicales; Brassicaceae.